GGGGUUGUGGCUCAGUGGAAGAGCGCUCGCCUGGAAUGUGUGGGGCCCUGGGUUCGAUCCUCAGCACCA
Ictidomys tridecemlineatus (thirteen-lined ground squirrel) is the source of this 69-nucleotide non-coding RNA. Lineage: Eukaryota; Metazoa; Chordata; Mammalia; Rodentia; Sciuridae. The record is from Rfam.